CAACUUUCAGCAACGGAUCUCUUGGCUCUCGCAUCGAUGAAGAACGCAGCGAAAUGCGAUAAGUAAUGUGAAUUGCAGAAUUCAGUGAAUCAUCGAAUCUUUGAACGCACCUUGCGCUCCUUGGUAUUCCUUGGAGCAUGCCUGUUUGAGUAUCAUGA
Molecule: ribosomal RNA, 158 nt
Filed under: Ceriporia bubalinomarginata
Lineage: Eukaryota; Fungi; Basidiomycota; Agaricomycetes; Polyporales; Irpicaceae
Description: 5.8S ribosomal RNA
Rfam family: 5.8S ribosomal RNA
About the family: 5.8S ribosomal RNA (5.8S rRNA) is a component of the large subunit of the eukaryotic ribosome. It is transcribed by RNA polymerase I as part of the 45S precursor that also contains 18S and 28S rRNA. Functionally, it is thought that 5.8S rRNA may be involved in ribosome translocation.
Source: RNAcentral